GUCGUGAGAUGUUGGGUUAAGUCCCGCAACGAGCGCAACCCUUGUCAUUAGUUGCCAUCAUUUAGUUGGGCACUCUAAUGAGACUGCCGGUGACAAACCGGAGGAAGGUGGGGAUGACGUCAAGUCCUCAUGGCCCUUAUGGGUAGGGCUUCACACGUCAUACAAUGGUCGGUACAGAGGGUUGCCAACCCGCGAGGGGGAGCCAAUCCCAAUAAAGCCGAUCGUAGUCCGGAUCGGAGUCUGCAACUCGACCCCGUGAAGUCGGAAUCGCUAGUAAUCGCGGAUCAGCAUGCCGCGGUGAAUACGUUCCCGGGUCUUGUACACACCGCCCGUCACACCAUGGGAGUGGGUUUCACCAGAAGUAGGUAGUCUAACCGCAAGGAGGGCGCUUACCACGGUGGGAUUCAUGACUGGGGUGAAGUCGUAACAAGGUAGCCGUAUCGGAAGGUGCGGCUGGAUCACCUCCUUUCUAGAGCGCGAGCUCGGCAAGUACCUACAACCUAUCGGUUGUUCCAGGCAGCAGACAAGCGGGUCUGUAGCUCAGUUGGUUAGAGCACCGUCUUGAUAAGGCGGGGGUCGUUGGUUCGAACCCAACCAGACCCACCACGCAUAGCAAGCGGGGCACGGCCGAUAACAACCACCGGGCAUCGAAGCUUGAGGGGGUGUAGCUCAGUUGGGAGAGCGCGUGCUUUGCAAGCAUGAGGUCAUCGGUUCGAUCCCGUUCACCUCCACCAAUUGCGCUGUCUGAGUAGCUGCUGGCAAGAGUCGAUCUCUCAACGUGAUCAAGAAAUUGGCGGGUUGAGAGAUCGGUUUUUUACCGAACGGUUGUUGGUUCUUUAACAAUUUGGAAGAAGUAAAGUGUGUGUGGAUCCGGAAGGGUUUACACAUGGGUUGUGAUUGCAUUGCUUCAUUCCCGCCAACUUGAACCGGCGGUGGGGGUGGAGAAACAAGCGCUUGUUGCUCUCUAGGCUUGUGACUUGGGCGCCUGAAAAGGUGCGCAGGACGCAAAGUUAUAGGGUCAAGUGACUAAGUGCAUGUGGUGGAUGCCUUGGCGAUUACAGGCGACGAAGGACGUUGUAGCCUGCGAAAAGCUGCGGGGAGCUGGCAAACAAGCUUUGAUCCGCAGAUGU
RNAcentral lists this small RNA (1130 nucleotides) under uncultured Rhodocyclaceae bacterium. Its description in RNAcentral is "bacterial SSU rRNA". The stretch from base 1 to 469 matches the Rfam family "Bacterial small subunit ribosomal RNA", at positions 1064 to 1533 of the family's 1533-position model. Lineage: Bacteria; Pseudomonadati; Pseudomonadota; Betaproteobacteria; Rhodocyclales; Rhodocyclaceae. The record is from RNAcentral.